GGUGGCUCAGUGGUAGAGUGCUUGCUUUCCAUGCAUGAGGCCCUGGGUUCGAUUCCUCAGCACCA
Non-coding RNA from Dipodomys ordii (Ord's kangaroo rat), 65 nucleotides. Lineage: Eukaryota; Metazoa; Chordata; Mammalia; Rodentia; Heteromyidae. The record is from Rfam.